Molecule: ribosomal RNA, 543 nt
Filed under: Phaeohelotium epiphyllum
Lineage: Eukaryota; Fungi; Ascomycota; Leotiomycetes; Helotiales; Helotiaceae
Description: eukaryotic LSU rRNA
Rfam family: Eukaryotic large subunit ribosomal RNA
Source: RNAcentral
GUAACGGCGAGUGAAGCGGUAACAGCUCAAAUUUGAAAUCUGGCUCUUUCAGGGUCCGAGUUGUAAUUUGUAGAAGAUGCUUCGGGUGUGGCUCCGGUCUAAGUUCCUUGGAACAGGACGUCAUAGAGGGUGAGAAUCCCGUAUGUGACUGGUUGCCUUCGCCCAUGUGAAGCUCUUUCGACGAGUCGAGUUGUUUGGGAAUGCAGCUCUAAAUGGGUGGUAAAUUUCAUCUAAAGCUAAAUAUUGGCCAGAGACCGAUAGCGCACAAGUAGAGUGAUCGAAAGAUGAAAAGCACUUUGGAAAGAGAGUUAAACAGUACGUGAAAUUGUUGAAAGGGAAGCGCUUGCAACCAGACUUGCACGCCGUCGAUCAUCUCAGGUUCUCCUGGGUGCACUCGGCGGUGUUCAGGCCAGCAUCGGUUUCGGUGGUUGGAUAAAGGCCUUGGGAAUGUGGCUCCUCUCGGGGAGUGUUAUAGCCCUCGGUGCAAUGCAGCCUACCGGGACCGAGGACCGCGCUUCGGCUAGGAUGCUGGCGUAAUGGUUG